Molecule: unclassified non-coding RNA, 209 nt
Filed under: Hevea brasiliensis (rubber tree)
Lineage: Eukaryota; Viridiplantae; Streptophyta; Magnoliopsida; Malpighiales; Euphorbiaceae
Source: RNAcentral
UGAGCUCGUUAAAAGAGAGCUCUAGCCUUAGACUCAUUGGAGAAAAAAGAGUCUAAAUCUCAAAUUUAGUUGAAAAAUAAUUCUGCUUAAUUUUACUAAUUCAGGUGAACCCUUUUAUAUUACAAGUUUACAUAAGAUUUAUUGGAAUUUUACUAGAAUUAGAAGUCUUAAUAAUAAUAGUGAUCCCUGUAUAAGAGGUAUUACAAUUC